RNAcentral lists this ribosomal RNA (427 nucleotides) under uncultured bacterium. RNAcentral describes it as "bacterial SSU rRNA". It matches the Rfam family "Bacterial small subunit ribosomal RNA", at positions 355 to 774 of the family's 1533-position model. The record is from RNAcentral.
UGGGGAAUUUUGGACAAUGGGCGCAAGCCUGAUCCAGCCAUGCCGCGUGAGUGAAGAAGGCCUUCGGGUUGUAAAGCUCUUUCAGACGGAAAGAAAUCUCUUGGGCGAAUACCCUGGGAGGAUGACGGUACCGUAAGAAGAAGCACCGGCUAACUACGUGCCAGCAGCCGCGGUAAUACGUAGGGUGCAAGCGUUAAUCGGAAUUACUGGGCGUAAAGCGUGCGCAGGCGGUGAUGUAAGACAGAUGUGAAAUCCCCGGGCUCAACCUGGGAACUGCAUUUGUGACUGCAUCGCUGGAGUGCGGCAGAGGGGGAUGGAAUUCCGCGUGUAGCAGUGAAAUGCGUAGAUAUGCGGAGGAACACCGAUGGCGAAGGCAGCCUCCUGGGCCAGUACUGACGCUCAUGCACAAAAGCGUGGGGAGCAAACA